RNAcentral lists this ribosomal RNA (256 nucleotides) under uncultured bacterium. RNAcentral describes it as "partial 16S ribosomal RNA". It matches the Rfam family "Bacterial small subunit ribosomal RNA", at positions 333 to 585 of the family's 1533-position model. The record is from RNAcentral.
GGAGUCCUACGGGGGGCAGCAGUGAGGUAUAUUGGUCAAUGGCCGAGAGGCUGAACCAGCCAAGUCGCGUGAGGGAUGACGGCCCUACGGGUUGUAAACCUCUUUUGUCGGGGAGCAAGACCCGCCUCGUGCAGGCGGAGCGAGAGUACCCGAAGAAAAAGCAUCGGCUAACUCCGUGCCAGCAGCCGCGGUAAUACGGAGGAUGCGAGCGUUAUCCGGAUUUACUGGGUGUAAAGGGAGCGUAAACGGCACCGCA